Sitodiplosis mosellana (orange wheat blossom midge) is the source of this 2889-nucleotide long non-coding RNA. RefSeq lists it as uncharacterized. The record is from RefSeq and is a predicted model, not a curated record. The transcript is spliced from 2 exons. NCBI's taxonomy places the organism in Eukaryota, Metazoa, Arthropoda, Insecta, Diptera, Cecidomyiidae.
CAAGCACGUACCGUAGCGGCAUGCACUGUAGCGGCAGGAUAUAGCCCACUGAGUUUGUGUGAAACGCUACGAAUCAAACAGCUCAGCCGAAUCGAUGCUAGUAUUUUGUUUUGUUUUUUUUUUCUCUCUACUUUUUGUUGUGCAUUGGUGCCCAUCUCGUUGGCAUUCGUUCGUUCAGCUGAUGUGCAAAUUAUAGCUUGCGUUCUAGUGCGUGCGAACGUUUUGUCUCACGGUACCGUCUAUCCAACUGCGGUCGGCACCUCACUACAAACGCAACAACCAAGUCGGUUAAACGAUAUAAGCAAUCGUCGGCAGCCGAACCGCAUUCAGUCAUUCUGGAACGUUCGAGUCGAUAAGACACAGUUCAAGUUCGGUCAGUCGAAGAUAGAAAAAAAAUUUUCUACUCAAAUCUUUUAUUCAUAACACUGAGUUUUCCUAAUCAAUUAACAAAUCUUACAUUUGCUACGAGUUUUUAAAGCAAACCAUAGUCAAAAGUGCGUUCUUUUUUAAGGGGAAAAAAUCACAAAAAUUAUCGCGUCGAAAGGCAAACACACAGUUAGCGAAAAGACACUAUUUAUUGCAUGUCUCCUUCUUCCCCUUCGUCGCAACACUGUCUAUAAAGUUAUUUCUUGCCAUUUACUUUUGCUGACUGGUCGUCGUCAUCAUCGCUUUCAGCAUAUACACUGCUGCAGAGUCGAAAGAAAAAAACAGAUUGCACAGCGUACGAAAUUACAGUGGAAAAUUCCUAUGAUACAUUCGUGCAGUUCACGAACGAACGAGAAAAAUUUGGUACAAGAUAUUAAGGUUUCACCACAUCGAAAAUGAAUUCGAAAAAUCUAACGAAAGCACAGCUGAAAUUCGGUGAAUUGUCACUUAAAGGCAAUUCGGCGACAAAUGGUAGUCAACAUCCGGCCCGAAGUGUACCAUCACGGAUGCAAUACAAAAAUUCGCCCGAAAUUUAUGACAUGGUCCGUUUUCGUGAUGCUAUCAUGAAUAAGUAUGUACAAACGCAUGAUGCCCACUUUCGUGAUAUGGCCAAUGCAUUGACGCCACAAAUCGAAGACAAAAUCCGUGAAUUUAAUCGGUCACACAAUGCCUUGAACUGAAGCGUGUUGUUGUAAGAGCUGAUUGCAUUUUUUUUUCUUCAAUUUUUUCUGAUGAUGAUGGUGCUACAUUUGCAGUAACUGAUUCAACCUCAGAAACACAUCCAUCGAAAAUGCUGCUCAAUAUCAGAAAAUAACACCACUCCAAGCGUCUAGUGUAAAACCAAUUCAACCCAUUCUAUUAAGUUCAGUGCGUAAAUAUACAGAUGAAACGAACCCGGUGAGAAUGUUUGUGCAAGUGUUUUUGUUUGGUGACGGAAGAUGUUCUAUCGUGAGAGAAUGAAAAUUCGAUUCAACCAUUCUGUGAUUGCAAUUUUUUUUUGUUGCUAGAAGUGAAUUUAUUGUUCAGAGACCAAACAAAGAAGAGAACAUUAUUGGAUUAACGUGAUAGCCUCAUGUCAAGCGGAUUACGCGGAAUCGAAUAAGUUCAUCAUAGGUGUGCCAAACAAACCAUUUUUGAUUCCAUGAAGCUGUGAUAAUAAUUCGUAAUUAUUAUACGACGUUUAGCAACUCUGCAGUAAAACCACGAAAUAAUCACAUCUCAAACCACAAACAAAGAACAUUUGACAAAAUGUGUGAGUUUUUGUAAGACUUUGUUUUUCGAUUCGAAGCGAUCGAGUGUUUGUGUGAGUGAAAUUUUGUGUUCAAAAUAAUUUCAGUUGGAACAUGAAAUGAGAGCCUUGUUUAUUCAAGAACAAAAUAAGUGCGAUAUGAACUGAUAACAAGAAAUGAAUAAUAAUGAACUGAAUGAAACUCGAAAAUGACUGUUUAAUGCGUGACAAAACCAUAAAAUAAUUCGACUGAUGCAUGUGUGCAAGUGUUUCAAUGCGUCGCUAAAUCACGUUCGCUCACACCAAACUGAUUUGAACGAUUCGAACGGUAACAACAUUCGACACAAUACUUGUACUGGCAACUGUUCGUAGGCUCUCAAUUUAGACGUAUAGUGACAUUUUUAGCUUUUAGUUUAGCUCGUACUGUUUAGAGGUUAUUUCGGUUAUCUUUAAUUUCAGUCUCUUUUGCAAUAUCCAAGCAUAACAAAUUCUUAUCAAGUUUCAACCAACUGGAACAAUUUUUUUUCUUUCAUUGGAUUCACAGUGAAUAUUUCCGUUGAAAUUUUUUUUGUUGAAAAAUUAACUUUUUAUCAAGAAGGAAUAAAAAAUAGACCGCAUCAAAAUUUAGAAUCAAUUGUCACACAAACUAUUAAGCAUUAGAAAUUAAUAAGCCCCUGAACUGAUGAAAAAAUUCGAAUUUCGAGUAUAUAUCGUACCACCAUCAAAAUUGUAUUUGAUAGAAGUGUAUAUUUAGUUACUUAAUUUUUUUUCUUUCUUCAACGAACCGACAUUGAGUUUGAUAGUCGUAAGAUUCGAAUAUCCGGUCAAAUCAGACAUGAAAUUAUUUAAGAACAGCAUAUGAAUUUGUCAUAUCGCAUAUAUUGUAAAAUGUUAAAUCCAUCAUCAUUGUACAGACAAUUUAAAGCGAUCGAUUAUAAUAUAUGUAAAAAUUCUUUCGAAUGGCGCAAUCCUAACGUCAAAUUCAUCGAUAAUUCGUCGAAAUUAACAUCAUGUCAUUCCGUCAUCAAGUCAUCGGCCAGCAAAGCCAUUGACGAUCAUUUUUCUGCAAAUAAAUUACCGAUACACUUUAUUCGUUGUUAUAAUUAUCAACAAAAUCUGUGUUUACUUUUAAUAAAUGAUUUCGGUCUUGAACUUCUACAAGAUUUGAUUGUUCAUUUUCUUUUUCUUGUACAAUUCAAGUUUAUUAUCGAAAUAUAUGACAAUUAUACAAUAAA